This 394-nucleotide long non-coding RNA is filed under the name Lepisosteus oculatus (spotted gar). RNAcentral's name for it is "lncRNA (ENSLOCG00000022245.1)". The record is from RNAcentral. Lineage: Eukaryota; Metazoa; Chordata; Actinopteri; Semionotiformes; Lepisosteidae.
AUGUACAGUGCUUUGCUGUUCCACAAUUUCCUCUAGGUUUGUGCAGUAUCAUGUUUCAACAUAGCCACUUACAGUUUACCAGUCUUUAAUCAUGUUUUCACUAUACUUCACAAAACGUUGUUACCCUUUACUCUCUUCCCAGGACAAGAUAUUCUAAUACUAUAGAGCAGUCAGAAAGUGUUCAAGCAAGAGCACCAAGCAUCUCCAAUCAUCACAGCAGAACAGCAAUGGUGCACAGGUAACAUUUAUGUUGUAUAUACUGUAAUAUUAGUGCACACAGAAUAAGAAAUGAAUGAACACAACUACUGACUCUAAAUAACACCAGAGGUGCACUUCCUUGUCACAUGACUUCCAAGGUCCACAUAAACCCUUCAUUCGGGAACAAAUAAAGAAC